RNAcentral lists this ribosomal RNA (164 nucleotides) under Meistera aculeata. RNAcentral's name for it is "5.8S ribosomal RNA". The stretch from base 1 to 137 matches the Rfam family "5.8S ribosomal RNA", at positions 19 to 154 of the family's 154-position model. From Rfam's summary of the family: 5.8S ribosomal RNA (5.8S rRNA) is a component of the large subunit of the eukaryotic ribosome. It is transcribed by RNA polymerase I as part of the 45S precursor that also contains 18S and 28S rRNA. The record is from RNAcentral. Lineage: Eukaryota; Viridiplantae; Streptophyta; Magnoliopsida; Zingiberales; Zingiberaceae.
UCUCGGCUCUUGCAUCGAUGAAGAACGUAGUGAAAUGCGAUACUUGGUGUGAAUUGCAGAAUCUCGUGAACCAUUGAGUCUUUGAACGCAAGUUGUGCCCGAGGCUUUGUGCCGAGGGCACGCCUGCUUGGGCGUCAUGGCAUCAUCGCCUUCGCUCCUUGCUU